CAGCAGCCGCGGUAAUACGAAGGGUGCAAGCGUUACUCGGAAUUACUGGGCGUAAAGCGUGCGUAGGUGGUGGUUUAAGUCCGUUGUGAAAGCCCUGGGCUCAACCUGGGAAUUGCAGUGGAUACUGGGUCACUAGAGUGUGGUAGAGAAUAGUGGAAUUUCCGGUGUAGCAGUGAAAUGCGUAGAGAUCGGAAGGAACAUCUGUGGCGAAGGCGACUAUCUGGGCCAACACUGACACUGAGGCACGAAAGCGUGGGGAGCAAACAGGAUUAGAUACCCCCGUAGUCCCUGUCUCUUAUAU
Molecule: ribosomal RNA, 301 nt
Filed under: uncultured bacterium
Lineage: Bacteria
Description: partial 16S ribosomal RNA
Rfam family: Bacterial small subunit ribosomal RNA
Source: RNAcentral